Molecule: ribosomal RNA, 465 nt
Filed under: Vreelandella stevensii
Lineage: Bacteria; Pseudomonadati; Pseudomonadota; Gammaproteobacteria; Oceanospirillales; Halomonadaceae
Description: partial 16S ribosomal RNA
Rfam family: Bacterial small subunit ribosomal RNA
Source: RNAcentral
CCUACGGGUGGCUGCAGUGGGGAAUAUUGGACAAUGGGCGAAAGCCUGAUCCAGCCAUGCCGCGUGUGUGAAGAAGGCCUUCGGGUUGUAAAGCACUUUCAGUGGGGAAGAAAGCCUUGGGGCUAAUACCCUCGAGGAAGGACAUCACCCACAGAAGAAGCACCGGCUAACUCCGUGCCAGCAGCCGCGGUAAUACGGAGGGUGCGAGCGUUAAUCGGAAUUACUGGGCGUAAAGCGCGCGUAGGCGGUCUGAUAAGCCGGUUGUGAAGGCCCCGGGCUCAACCUGGGAACGGCAUCCGGAACUGUCAGGCUAGAGUGCAGGAGAGGAAGGUAGAAUUCCCGGUGUAGCGGUGAAAUGCGUAGAGAUCGGGAGGAAUACCAGUGGCGAAGGCGGCCUUCUGGACUGACACUGACGCUGAGGUGCGAAAGCGUGGGUAGCAAACAGGAUUAGAUACCCGGGUAGUC